CUUAGAGGAGAUCGGCCGUGAAUCCCUUUUCUAAUGAGAUGCUAGAGAGAAGUAGUGAUCGGUUGUAGCACUCGAGUCUCAGAAAAGUGUAAAUUGCGUUCAUCUGCCCAUUCUGCCAUUUGCGGUGCCGUAAUUCUUCUCACCCUUUAGCUUUUCCUAUAGCAAUCCUGCAACUGUGCUUCUCAACCGCAGAGUGAGUCCUGUUGGGUUUUGUUUGUGAGAAACGAUAUCAGGGAUGGCGUGAAUGAUACGAUUACAGGGUGGCCUUGAAGCAGGAGCUGAAAAUCACGCAUUGGAAUUCCAACUCAGGCUUUUCAGUUUGAACGAAUGCCUGCAGAGGCGAUUGUGUAGUGUGUGGCGAGUGUAGGGCUGCGGCAGUCUUACGAAAUUUGGGUUUCUGUUACACGAAAACCUAAUUGUCAGGAGUGACGCGUAGGAUAUUUUGUAGCAAUGGAACUAUGCAAGUAGGUUAUGGCCUCCUUAAUAUAUAUUUUUAAAAUCUUGUUUCGCUGUCGACGAUCUCUACGAAACAAGCGGUUGGGUCUGGGGACAUACAGUGACCACCCCAACCGAGUUUCUUCGUUUAAAGAAGGCUAUAUCUUCGAUCGCAGAAACACGGCUUCGUGAGUGAUAUAGCUCAUGCGAGCAGGUAAAAUUCUAUUCACUAAUUCCAGGGAAAGAAAAUCUAGAUUAAUAUGCCCUGAGGAAGUUCAGUUGCAUGUUAAGUGUGGACUUCAGGCUUCACGUUCAGCUUCUACAAGAAUCAGACAAUUGCAAGACAAUACGGUAAAUUACUGUCCGACUUUGCCAGCAUAGGGGAAGCUUAGAGCCAGCGAAAAGUAAGCAUGACAAUCUAAAUCGAGCGCUGCGCUGGAUGCUGUGAAUAGCGAUUUUGAUGACCUUUAAUUUUGUGAAGAUCGUCUCACAAGGUAGAUGCUUCAGGGUCAGGUUGAACAGCUGCUCAUGAUCCUUCCACUUUAGUAUCAGCACUGGGUGCUACUAGUCAUAAGCACGAGUGACUCUAGGUAAAUUGCCUUCAACCCGCUGGGGACUCACCAAGGUCCGCUCAGACCCUUAGAUGUUCUGUACAAGUUUGUGAUAGUUUCAACCAAAUGGUUGAUUAUCAAGUCAAGUCGUUGCGGCGACCGGACGACCACAAACUCAGAAAAUAUAUCGAAAAAGGCACUGCUCAGACAAGAUUUGUGUUGGAAACGAAGAGUUUUCUUCAACGCCUUCUCACGAAAGCUAAAAGCGAGCUGGGAUUAUCGAAUCAUCAUAGCAGCAGCCAAAAACAUACCAACGGGUCUGAAACCCCAAAAGAACAGAAUACAGCACUUAGACACAAAUCUAACAGCACCAACAAACAGUGAGUAACGAAAAACAAGAAACAGAACAAAACAAAGAAGACCCAAAUCCCAAAACCGACAUUUUUAGCGACGGUUACACCACGCCAUAAGAAGCUAACCUAUCAACCCAAAAACAACAUGGAGGUCGGGGAAAAGGGAGAGAGCUUGAAGACAGUCUCAACAAGCGAUGGCGGAACUUAUAGGGCUCCGGCGACCAGCUUGGCUUGACUAGGCAAACCCUAAAUCAGUGAUCUAUUUUCGGGAACGUUGGUUCGCAAUGGAGAAGGCGGACGUUCUCAUCCCCCGUUCCCACUUAAAAGAACAGGAUCCCAUGUUACCUACUAUUGUUAUCUACCAUGGUAGAUAGUAAAAACAAAUUAAAGAUUAGGAAAUAAAAUUUGGUGUUCGAAGAUCGUUAUUGACACGACACGUGGUAAAUUUGGCACACUAUAUAUUGUUAUAUUGUUAAGUGCUUACUGGCAGAACACAAAUAAAAUUCUUUUUUUUUCUGGA
This is a non-coding RNA of Physcomitrium patens, 1859 nucleotides long. The record is from RefSeq and is a predicted model, not a curated record. NCBI's taxonomy places the organism in Eukaryota, Viridiplantae, Streptophyta, Bryopsida, Funariales, Funariaceae.